UACGUAGGGGGCAAGCGUUGUUCGGAUUUACUGGGCGUAAAGGGCGCGUAGGCGGCGUGACAAGUCACUUGUGAAAUCUCCGGGCUUAACUCGGAACUGCCAAGUGAUACUGUCGUGCUAGAGUGCAGAAAGGGCAAUCGGAAUUCUUGGUGUAGCGGUGAAAUGCGUAGAUAUCAAGAGGAACACCUGAGGCGAAGGCGGGUUGCUAGGCUGACACUGACGCUGAGGCGCGAAAGCUAGGGUAGCAAACGGG
This 253-nucleotide ribosomal RNA is filed under the name uncultured bacterium. RNAcentral describes it as "partial 16S ribosomal RNA". It matches the Rfam family "Bacterial small subunit ribosomal RNA", at positions 524 to 776 of the family's 1533-position model. The record is from RNAcentral.